GGAUAACUACGGAAAAGCUGUAGCUAAUACUUGCUUUAGCACUCUUGAUUAAGUUCUUGAGUGUGUACUUGUUAAGCCUUUUAAGAAAAAAGUUAUUAACUUAAGGAAUUAUAACAAAGAAGCAACACGUAAAUGGAUUUUCCAUUUUUUAGUGUGUAUCAAUCGAGUUUCUGACCUAUCAGCUUUUGAUGUUAGGGUAUUGGCCUAACAUGGCUAUGACGGGUAACGGGGAAUUAGAGUUCGAUUCCGGAGAGGGAGCCUGAGAAAUAGCUACCACAUCUAAGGAAGGCAGCAGGCGCGUAAAUUACCCAAUUCUAAAGAAGAGAGGUAGUGACAAGAAAUAACAAUACAAGGCCAAUCUGGCUUUGUAAUUGGAAUGAUGGGAAUUUAAAGCCUUCCCAAAACUCAAUUGGAGGGCACGUCUGGUGCCAGCAGCCGCGGUAAUUCCAGCUCCAAUAGCGUAUAUUAAAAUUGUUGCAGUUAAAACGCUCGUAGUUGAAUUUCAAAGAAUCGAUAUUUUAAGUAGCACUUUGUAGAUUAAUCCACAUAACUGAUACUACGUAUCGACUUUGUGCGCAUUUUUCUACUUAUGUGUUCUUUUAAUUAAAAUGAUUCUUUUUAAGAUCUUUCUUUUUUGCUUCGGCAUUUUAGGAGAUCUUGUUACUUUGAGUAAAUUAGAGUGUUCAAAGCAAACAGAUUAUAGCAUCUUUAUGCGUUUGAAUACUACAGCAUGGAAUAACAAAAUUGAACAAGUCAGAAUUUUGUUCUUUUUUCUUAUUUUGGCUUAGUUACGAUUAAUAGGAGUAGCUUGGGGGCAUUUGUAUUCAGAUGUCAGAGGUGAAAUUCUUAGAUUUUCUGGAGACAAACAACUGCGAAAGCAUUUGCCUAAAAUACUUCCAUUAAUCAGGAACGAAAGUUAAGGGAGUGAAGACGAUCAGAUACCGUCGUAAUCUUAACCAUAAACUAUGCUGACUAGGCUUUGGAUGAAAGAUUUUAAAAUAAGAGUUUUUUCUCUGAGGAGUUAAAACUCUUAGAUUGC
Molecule: ribosomal RNA, 1039 nt
Filed under: Plasmodium inui
Lineage: Eukaryota; Apicomplexa; Aconoidasida; Haemosporida; Plasmodiidae
Description: SSU rRNA
Rfam family: Eukaryotic small subunit ribosomal RNA
Source: RNAcentral